GGAUGUUGGAGUAAACAUCUGCCACCCUGUUGAUCACCAGAGUCGAUCUGGCUGGUCUGGCUGGCUACGUGGGUGUCCCCUUCCUCCCUCACCACUCAGUGUGCAUUCCCCCCAAAGCUGCCCGCUCAGUCAAAGAAGACGACUUUUACUGAUAGUCGGCUUGUAUUAGAGCGCACAGAAUGUUGUAAGGGUGGUGUCAAGUUUUAAUGUUUAACGUGUCAAGUUUAUUUUAUUUUUUCAUGAUAAAAAUAAUAAAUACUCAUUGAAGUAUAUGUGAAAAACAUAUAAAAGUUAAAGGAUAAAUAGCAGGUAUAUUU
Molecule: non-coding RNA, 317 nt
Organism: Macaca mulatta (Rhesus monkey)
Lineage: Eukaryota; Metazoa; Chordata; Mammalia; Primates; Cercopithecidae
Source: Rfam